CCUAACCGUUCGCGGAGGGGGACGCCGAAGGUGGGGCUGAUGACUGGGGUGAAGUCGUAACAAGGUAGCCGUACCGGAAGGUGUGGCUGGAUCACCUCCUUAAGGGAGACCUUACCCACUUUCAGCCGAAAGCAAAAAGCAAUUAAGCGAAAGUCUGGUCAACCGAGGUCGUUCGAGGAAUUGAUGAGGCUUCCAGACUAGCGUCUAGUUCUUCUACAGAUUGGAUCAACCAUUCCUGGUCUGUAGAGAAAAGACUGUUGAUAAGGCAGUGGGCUAUUAGCUCAGGUGGUUAGAGCGCACCCCUGAUAAGGGUGAGGUCCCUGGUUCGAGUCCAGGAUGGCCCACCUUCACAUUUUUUGCGUUACCACCUAUCGGCAAACCUUUCCCAAACGAGCAUCUCACGCACCCCCGGGAAACACAUACUUUUUUUUGCACAAGACCGCUGAACCUAACUCACCGUGAACCGUGUUAUCUGUACGGCAAAAGGCAAGAAAUCCCCCCCAUUCUGGAGUUGUCCAGGUUUCCCUCCCGGGACCGGGUUGCUGAGGAAGCGCUGCCACAGUUAAAAGGUAUGGGAGUUUGAAUUCCCAGACGUCGAGCGGGAUAAGGG
Molecule: unclassified non-coding RNA, 610 nt
Filed under: Leptolyngbya sp. C4-a
Lineage: Bacteria; Bacillati; Cyanobacteriota; Cyanophyceae; Leptolyngbyales; Leptolyngbyaceae
Description: partial contains 16S ribosomal RNA and 16S-23S ribosomal RNA intergenic spacer
Rfam family: Bacterial small subunit ribosomal RNA (bases 1-102)
Source: RNAcentral